UACGUAGGUGGCAAGCGUUGUUCGGAAUUAUUGGGCGUAAAGGGCGCGUAGGCGGUUUGUUAAGUCGGCUGUGAAAGCCCGGGGCUCAACCCCGGAGGGUCAGCCGAUACUGGCAGACUAGAGUACGGAAGAGGUAGCUGGAAUUCCCGGUGUAGCGGUGAAAUGCGCAGAUAUCGGGAGGAACACCGGUGGCGAAGGCGGUUCUCUGGGCCUGACCUGACGCUGAGGAGCGAAAGCGUGGGGAGCGAACAGG
RNAcentral lists this ribosomal RNA (253 nucleotides) under uncultured bacterium. RNAcentral describes it as "partial 16S ribosomal RNA". It matches the Rfam family "Bacterial small subunit ribosomal RNA", at positions 524 to 776 of the family's 1533-position model. The record is from RNAcentral.